RNAcentral lists this ribosomal RNA (453 nucleotides) under uncultured eukaryote. RNAcentral describes it as "bacterial SSU rRNA". It matches the Rfam family "Eukaryotic small subunit ribosomal RNA", at positions 465 to 913 of the family's 1831-position model. The record is from RNAcentral.
UAGUGACAAGAAAUACCGAUGCGGGACCCUACGGGUGCCGCGUUCGGAAUGAGUACGAUUCGAACCACCUAACGAGGAACGAUCGGAGGGCAAGUCUGGUGCCAGCAGCCGCGGUAAUUCCAGCUCCAAUAGCGUACGUUAAAGUUGCUGCAGUUAAAAAGCUCGUAGUUGAACGUUCGGGUUCCGCGGGACGGGGCCGCCCCGCGAGGGACGGCGCCGCCCCGGGGCUCGUGAUAUCUCAUCUCGCCGCCCGUCGCGAGGCGGACGGAGGGAUGGAUGAGGUUACCUGGAAAAAAUCGGGGCGAUCUAGGCGGGCGAACCUCGCCAACGAACGAUCGGACAUGGGGAUAACGGAAGAGGGCGUCGGCUCGACUUCGUCGGUUCCUCGGGCCGAGGCACGUACGGUGAAUAGGGGACGGUCGGGGGCCGCCCGUACCGGGGUCGUGAGAGGUG